This 234-nucleotide unclassified non-coding RNA is filed under the name Melitaea cinxia (Glanville fritillary). RNAcentral describes it as "misc RNA ENSMCXG00005011793.1". The record is from RNAcentral. Lineage: Eukaryota; Metazoa; Arthropoda; Insecta; Lepidoptera; Nymphalidae.
GGAGGCGUAAAGUCUAAGUUCAGUUUGAGUCGGAUGUACGCGUGAUGCUACGUGUGAUUUUAUUCAGUAUAUGCUCAAUUCUUAAUUUGUUUAGUAUUUUAAAUUACAAUUGAAUUUUAUAUAUUUUGACAAUGUGACAAUAAUACACAAAAGACAAUGACAAACGUACAAAAGAUAGAACUAAACUUCAAAUUCUUAUAGUGAUCCAGACUGGCUUAUAUAAAAACUUACAAA